GAUCAUGGCUCAGGAUGAACGCUAGCUACAGGCUUAACACAUGCAAGUCGAGGGGCAUCGGGAAGAAAGCUUGCUUUCUUUGCUGGCGACCGGCGCACGGGUGAGUAACACGUAUCCAACCUGCCCUUUACUCGGGGGAUAGCCUUUCGAAAGAAAGAUUAAUACCCGAUAGCAUAAUGAUUCCGCAUGGUUUCAUUAUUAAAGGAUUCCGGUAAAGGAUGGGGAUGCGUUCCAUUAGGUUGUUGGUGAGGG
Molecule: ribosomal RNA, 252 nt
Filed under: uncultured bacterium
Lineage: Bacteria
Description: partial 16S ribosomal RNA
Rfam family: Bacterial small subunit ribosomal RNA
Source: RNAcentral